This 486-nucleotide ribosomal RNA is filed under the name uncultured bacterium. RNAcentral's name for it is "partial 16S ribosomal RNA". It matches the Rfam family "Bacterial small subunit ribosomal RNA", at positions 30 to 507 of the family's 1533-position model. The record is from RNAcentral.
AUUGAACGCUGGCGGCAUGCCUUACACAUGCAAGUCGAACGGCAGCACGGGUGCUUGCACCUGGUGGCGAGUGGCGAACGGGUGAGUAAUACAUCGGAACAUGUCCUGUAGUGGGGGAUAGCCCGGCGAAAGCCGGAUUAAUACCGCAUACGAUCUACGGAUUAAAUCGUGGGACCUUCGGGCCUCGCGCUAUAGGGUUGGCCGAUGGCUGAUUAGCUAGUUGGUGGGGUGAAGGCCUACCAAGGCGACGAUCCGUAGCUGGGCGGAGAGGACGACCAGCCACACUGGGACUGAGACGCGGCCCAGAGUCCUACGGGAGGCAGCAGUGGGGAAUUUUGGACAAUGGGCGAAAGCCUGGUCCAGCAAUGCCGCGUGUGUGAAGAAGGCGUUCGGGUUGUAAAGAACUUUUGUCCGGAAAGAAAUCCUUGGCCCUAAUACGGUCGGGGGAUGACGGUACCGGAAGAAUAAGCACCGGCUAACUACGUG